Non-coding RNA from Podarcis lilfordi (Lilford's wall lizard), 7683 nucleotides. The record is from the annotation of a GenBank genome assembly. Lineage: Eukaryota; Metazoa; Chordata; Lepidosauria; Squamata; Lacertidae.
GUGAUCAGCAGCUCUCACUUAUAUGUGUCUGAAAAGUGGAAGGACAUUCACGAAAUCGGUGCAUGAAUAUCAAUGUUCACUACAUUUUGGAUCUUCACUGUAGCCUAUACGUUACAUGAGUACGGUGCUUCAAUUUAUUUCUGUUCCCUCAUUCACUUGAACAUUUUGCUCUACUGUACUUUCAAAAUCAAUCUCAUGGCAGGAUAGAAUUUCAGUACAGUGAUUUCCUGGAAAGCAAUGAAGAAGCUGAGCAUGUUGCUGGUUGCUCUUUUUAUAAGGUAAUACAAAUGUUUAUAUUUGGAGGAUUUAACGUACAGUAAUUAUUAUGCAGGAAGGUAAGUGUGAUAAUGUGCUGUGCUUGAUAUAAGGUACAUCAUGGUUAUGUGAAUGCUUAAUAAGUUGAUAUAUUUAAAAGUGCAUUAUAUAUUAUAUACAGAGAGAAGGUGAAUUGAAAAAAAGUUUGGGCAUGAUUUUGCCAUGCAGGUCAAAGUUGUAUUAGCUUUUCUAUUACAAAUUUCUAUUUUAUGAAGCAAUCAUUUGAUAGUUUCCCCCAGGAUCUUGUACCCUAUGUGUUCAAGCUGAUUUUAGAAAUUUGUGUGUCUUCACUUAAAAAGUUCAAAAAUAAGAAUGUGAAUUUACCAGUUUAGACGUUGAAUUCCAACAAGACUUUUUUUUUAAGUCACAAUGCGGGGGGAAACUGAUAAUUGAUUAGCAUUUUGUCUGAAGUCCAUCCAACCCUUUUAAAAGGCUGCUUUCUCGCUCAUCUAUUGGUGAGAACCUUAACAUGAUCUCUAAUUUUAGCAUGAAAAAACAGCAUUGAAUUUUGAAUAAAUGGGUCUGCCCAAUUUUAGCAUGAAAAAAACAGCAUUGAAUUUUGAAUAAAUGGCAUCUGUUUUAAAUAAAAACCAGAAAGAGUCCUGUGGCUCCUCAAAAGCAAACAAAUUUGUUGUAGCAAGAGCAUUCUGUAGGCAAGAGCCUACUUCAUCAGAUGCAUGAAGUGGACAGUGAAAGCAUGAGAUUCAUAUCUAUAAUACAUGGGAUCAGUGGAGAGAAGCUGUUUUUAAUAAGGCAUCUGUAGUCACAUUGUCACAGUCCACAAUGUGGAUCAGUGCAACGCAAAAAUAUAGAUGUCAUCAAUCGAUUGCAGUUUAUCAUUAUGGUGUGUUGUGUAAAUGGAUAAAUAGCACAAUAUUAUUUGCCAUAAACCAGGGGAAAAAAUCUUUCUGGGUUAAACAUUUAUGGGGGAGGGGGAAAUGAAAUUUAAGUAAAUACUUUUGUAGGUAAUUACUUGGUAUGCUGAAUUGGAAGGAAUAUGAUCUUGCUCCAAAGGAGCCCUUUCUAAGUCUCCCUGACUUAAACAUAAUAUGCAUUUUGUAACUUCUUGGUGAUGUUUUUGAGGCAGGAGAUGGUUUUAAGAAGCAUAAAAAUGCAGCUAAACAUAGAACAAAAGUGUAUGAAAACACUAAACAAUGCAAUUAAGUUUAGUAAUGAGAUUCUCUUGUCUAACUUGGUUACUGAGAUGAUUAGCAGACCACUCACAAUGGUGUUGUCUCACUCACCUACAUGUGAUCUGUGAACCUAUGUAAUAUAUAUUUCUCCUCUUAUCUAUUCAAUCCAUGAACAUUAUUGUGCAGCCCAUUUCCAUACUUCUUUAUUGUACAUGCUUAUUUAGAAAUCUCAUUUAUUCAAUGCAGCUUACUCCCAAGUAAAUGUACAGAGGAGUAAGACCUUAGUAACAUCAAGCCCAAUGUUAGGCAAAAGAUUCCUGCAUUGCAGGGUAUUGGACUAAAUGAUUCUCAUGGUCCCGCUACAAUUCUGUUAUUCAGUAUCUGAUUUGGGGAAGCAUAUCCCUGCAACUAUUCCACUGGCGACCAUUUUAGUGUCCUGCAUUUGGACGCUGGCCCUGCUAGUUCAUGUUGAGCUGUGUGCUCAUUUUAUAAUGAAUACCUCUGCUUGUUUCCUGGUGCCACCAUGCUGAUCUUAAUAAAAUGCCAGCUUCAAUAUCUAACAAAGCACAGGAUCCUAUUCUGGCUUGUUGGUAAGAACUCAGAAAAUGGAAACCCUCGAGUGAGGUCUAAGUACUCAUCAUCUUGCAGAUAGAUGCUUGAACUGCAUAUAUUGGAGGAAGAAAACGAGGUUGCCUGUUUAUUUGAAAGGUUUGCUUGUAGCCUCCAAUGUUUAACAGGUGCCUGUGGCUUUAGAAGAUAACACAGCUGGCCAAACAAUGCAGAUUCUAUAAUCUGCUGCCCUCUUGUAAAACCAGUUGGUAUACAGGUCAGCCAAACAGUAAGUGCAGCCAGAAUAACAAGAUGGGACCGAUUGCCACCCAGCAUUGUCUGAUAUAGCAAGUCAAAUCUCUCUUACAAGACAUGCCACUCCUGUUUGCCUUAGUUGUUUGUUUGUUUGUUUGUUUGUUUAGUUCUGGGGAAAUAAAGACAUUGGGUGGUGUAUUCAACAAGAAGGGGGAGACAUCUACUUUUUCUUUUCUUUUCAACCCUUAGGCCUUAUGUUUCUUACAUGUCAUAUUGCACAGAUGAAGGACUAGUGGACCCAUGGCCAGCAGCAUGUCGUAUAAAUAAAGUGCCGAUUAGUUAGGUAUUAACACGGAGGCCGAAAAUGAGAGCAAAACGGAUAAGGUUCAUGUUCCCUUUUACACAAGCUUAAGGCAGGGACUUUAGAAGUGUGUGCAGUAUUCCUACCCCUAAAACAGUUGUUGAAAGUGCCUCAAUUAAGAACAACACAGUGCAGGCCUAAAAAAUAAUCUCUGUUGUCAAGGAGAAGCCUGCAUCCAUGCCACUUUCUCCAACCUGGUGCCCUCCAAAUGUUUUGGAUUAUAUUUUCCAUCAGCCCAAGCAAGCACAACCAUGCAGGCUAGGAAUGAUGGGGGUUGCAGUUCAAAACAUCUCAAGGGCACCAGUUUGGCAAGGGCUUCAUUAAUACAUAAUCUUUGGACUGUGCCAGUAUGCAUAUAAGCUAUUGCUACAAAAUGAUCAUGUGCAAGCCAGGAAGCCAGGGCGACGGCAGUGUCGUUAUCAUUUGAAAUAACCUCAUACGUGACUUUAUUGUGGCAAUUCCACCAACUACUGAACAUACAAAAGAAAUGGACCCGCUUCUCAGUAAGGCUCGUUGAUUGUCAUGGCAACCAAUGACAUAUAUGCCACUAGGUUUUGAGUAACUGUAUUCACGUGCCCCGUUUGGAAAGCCUGUGGUCAUGCUAUUUUAUUGCUGACAUGGCCAUGAUUUCAUUAAUGAACCACAUAACAUACACACACCCCAACCUAAUGUGUAAAGGGUGCCUGAAAUAAAUGGUGGAAGAGGGCCUGUCCCCAUAAUGAAAUUAUGGUUAGGAGGUUUGCAAAGCGGAUUCACAUCUGUUUUAAGAGCUGCUGAGGAGGCUCUUCUCAAAGCUGUGUUCUUCAACCUUGGUUCCCCAGAUGUUGUUCAGCUGAAACCCUUAUAGCUAAUGGUCAGGGGUGGUGGGAGCUCCAGUCCAACAUUUGGAGAUCCAGGGUUGAAGAAAACUGUCUUAAAGUACCUUCUACAUGUGUCUUGUCAAUGUGGAGCAGAUGCUUGUCUGUUACGACAUCUCACAGAAGUAUAGUUGGUGCUGGUUCUGUUAUCCUCUUGGCACCUGGUCAAAACUUACAUGUUGGGCCUGGCGUUUUAGCUGUUUAGUCCUAUUGUGUUUUACUUCCUCUUACAAAGCUGUUUAGAUUGUGUUUUAUGCUUUUAUCUUUGGCAGUAUGACAAUUAUUGGUCAUAUUUUAUUCACUGCCCUGAUACCCGAUUGUGGUUUUUUGGGAGGAGGGAGAGGUAAAGAUCUUUUAGUAAAUAAACAAAUGUGCCAUUGUUAUAGUGCCAGACCAAGUAAUUAUCCCGCUUGAAGCUGAUCACCAAAUGGCAACCUAUUCACUAACCCUUCUAGGGCCAACACUUUAAAAAUUCUGUACCAUUUUGAACAUCAAUUCCUGUCCUCAUCUAUCCUCUAAGUCCUGCUGUUUGAAACAGCCUGUACCACCAUGCUGUAUGGCAGGGCCAGUCCUGUGUUGUUGACAAGGCAUGGCAAGAAGAUAAAGCGGCUUUCACAGGAAUCCUGGCACUUUAAUCUUCAUAGAAAAGUGCCGCUGCUGUCCACCAAUAGCACCUCAAGCGCUUUCUCUAAAAAGCUAAAUAGGACUGAGAAGUCAGCUUUGGCAGAAAAGUGUCCGAAGCUUUCGAAGGUGUUAUAGUCUCAUGAAAGUUAUCAAAUAAAAAUAAACAUUUCCAUGCUAAAAUAUUUAUGUGGUUAAGGAUAUGGAAAACAUCACACUCAAUUAUUUUUUUUGUAAGCUGCUUUGAAGUAGUUAAAAAACCAAAAACCAUCAGCAGUAUAUAAUUUUUAAUGAAAUAAAUAAAUAAAUUCCCGAGAUGUGGAUGUGCUCUUCAUUAUACUUGUUUUCUAUGUGAAACAGCGAGCUUCCAGCAGGGCAAAAUGAACAAUGUCAAUCCAAGCGUAUUGUAUAGGCUUUGGAAAGUCGUCCAGUGGACCAAUCUAUAAACCAGCUAAAAUAUACUGGGAUAUGAUAAUUAAGUCAACAGGGCUGAAUCAACUGCAAACAAAGGCCUCCGUUCCUUCAUAAAAUGGGCAUUUUGCUUUUCUUCGAGCAAUGUUUUUGGCCACCUAAUAAAGAUAUUCAACUCGCCCCAAAUAAAAUUCUUCUUUGUGUGUGUAUCUGCUUUGUCAGCUGCUGCUGCGCAGAUUUGGUAUACUCUCACUAUUUGACUGGCAUCUUUGUGCUUUCCGUUUAGAUUGGAUUAACACAUGCAUUAUAUCCUUUAACAUCGAGCCCCGCCCCCCCAACAUGGUGAGACAUGUCUUUGACUUUUAAUUUCAUUCAGCCAUUGACUUGCACCCCAACAAGAGAAAAAUAAAUAGCACCACCAGAAACCAUUCCCUUCAAUUAGAGUGUUUAAAGACAGCAGCUUGGUGAUUUUCCCCUGCCUCCAAAGUGAUGUAAAAGGCAGUCAAAUUGGCUUGGUGUUAUUUUAUGUGGGCCAGUGCUGGGAUGACAGCAUUGCAUAGGCUUGGGUUACAACAAAAUUAGCAUUCAUUUGCACAGGUGCCUUUCAGUUUUAUUAUUAAAAAUGCUUGUUGUUGAGCCUUUCCUUUCGCUGUCCAAAUGUUUGCUGCUUUGUAGAAUUCCCUGUGGACAGUGUUUGUGUGCCUCCAUCACACAGCUCUGAUCACCCAUCGUAAUCACUUCGGCCUAAUAAGAAGUGAGUCUGGGAUGCCCCUGUUUCUUUCCCCGCAGAUAAGAGUCCUGAGAUGGUGAGAUAAUCUCUCUGUGCCCUCUGUUAGUUUAUCCUUAUAGCUGCCAGCCUCUGCAGCUAAAUAAUUCCUCUCCAGUGCCCGUACUGUUUAUUUGAACCCUGGAAGUUUCGUAGAUUUGCAGGAAGAGCUGCAGAUCUUUAGAUAUUGGCAGUUUAUUUUGUGGAAUAUGUGUACAGGAGCUAUUUACAGGUGACCUAUUUAUUUCUUGUCAUGGCUGAAGCAUGAUGGUAGCUUUUUUGUCAUUUACAUGACACGGCAGUUCAAGAUUUCAGGGGAUAUGGGCAUAUUUUAGUAUAUGAUUCAGAAAAGUGUUGUUGUUACCCAUUCUCCUAAAUUAAAUGCUGGUUUACUGCCAGUCUGUUUGCUUACAAUAAAAAUUUAGUUGUUUCCACAGCAUUAUUCAUAUUUAUUCAAUGUCACUUGCCUUUUGCUGGAAAUGAUCUAGGAAACGAUUUAUAUUCUGACCCUUGGCUGCCUUCCUGUAUUUCAGCAUCCACUGUUCCCAGUGCAUGAUGAGAAACCAAUUUUUCUCCCACAUCUGACCCUUUAUAUUUCUGCAACUGGUCUUUGGACAGAUGUAUGCUUGAUUGCCUCCACCUCUAUAGACCUAAUCAAAACGUACAAGCAAAUGUGUGCACCAAAAGACCGAUGGCAAUUUAAAUGAGGUAAAAUUCACAUUGAGAGGGAGCAACAACAACAACAAAAAGAGAAGGGAUAAUCCUUUUCAUACUGUUUCUCCAUUCUAUACUAUGCUCCUAAAUUGCUUUUCUCUGCAGAGUUCCAAAUGUGUGUUUGACUUCCCAAAUUGGGAGUCUAUAGGGAGAUACGAAUCAGCAGGCAGGGGAUUCCCAGUUGGUUUUGUGCUCCAGAUAACCUCCAAAGUGGACUUUCUCUCCUAUUAAAAUAAAUAGCCCCCAAGAUUUUGUUACACAUGUUGUCAGAAAAUAUUUAGUCAGGGUAUUAGGCACAAGAUGCUAUCAAGAGACUUGAAGACCAAUGAGAAUUUUCUUUGUAACUCCAGUAAGAUGUGGAUUACAUGCCCUGUGGAAUUUAGCACAUAGGGUUGUACAUGCUAUGGUUAAAAUGUGUUAGCACCGGGGAGCAGAAGUGUGUUCUGAUAUGUUCUGCUUAUUAUAAAAUCAACGUAUUAACUCCCCCCUUUUUUUGUUAAAAAUCCUUUUCUUGACUCUGCACAUACAAGGUCUACUCUUAAAUUAAACCACAUCUGGUUUUGAGUUACAUGCCUUUAACCAGAUAACAUCUGAAAAUGUCUUUUAGGUAGUCCUAAAAACAAGCCAGAAUGGAAACUGCCUAUCAUGCCUAAAUACUAUAUCAGAAACAACUCCUUUAUACAGGCAGUUGUUGCUAUGGUGGUCACACUGUAUGAGAUCCAUCAAAACAGCAAGCUCUGUAUACCUGUGUUAAGGUAUUCGGUCUUACUUUCCCCCGCUUUUGCACAUACAUAUUCUGUGCCAGAGUUUGGUUCACAGUGCUGCAUGUAAGCAAAGAGACAGUGACAGCAUUUUCCUAUUUUCAGAGAGCUGAUUUCUUUUACAUUACUUUAAUUUUAUGUUACUGUACGACUCCCACAACAUUCUUUGCAUUAAUAAUAUUUUUUAAUAAAUACCUUUUUUUUUCUUUCAAGUAGUUUCUAUGGACAAACACAAAGCUUGUUUGUGUGCAAAACGAAGGCUGACUAAAUGGUGCUAAAGUGUAUAUUGACUGUCAGAUAUAAUCAGGCAAAAAUUUGUGGUGCUUAGACAGAUUUUUUUUCAUUGUUUCUUUAUUGAUCAAUGCAUUUAACAGUGUUUUAUUAUACACACAUUCUUUUAUUAGUAAAUGAAGGCCUCAUAGUGCACUAUUAAAUAAAACAAAAAUGGGUUAACUAAUCUAUGUACCAGCUCACCAAGCUAUUAUCGUUUAACUCCUUAUAAUAUUGCAUAAUUAAAGGUCAAGGGGUCAUGAUAUUAAUCUCAUUGCUGUUCACUCAUUACAUGACUGAACAUUUUUGAACAAAAUACUUAUGUUUACAAUAGUAUAAUAACCCUUUGACUGCUGCGGCAACCUUUAACCACGAAAUUAAAACGUCACAUGCUAGAAUUGUCUUUUUGGUUCUUGUCCUGGCAAUCAAAGAGUUAAGGGCUGUGCAGUGAUUUGUUUUCUAUUUAUUAAUUUCUAUUUAUUUUUUUGUUUUCAUUUGAGGAGGGGGGUCCGGGGUGGGGCAGUUCUCGUCUGCUGUAAGUGUCUUAACCAAGGGAAGGGUUAAAAAUUGCUUUUUUUAUACUAUCUUAUGUACUUACCAUCAUUUCAUUGUGUUGUAAUUAAAAAAAAAAACCUGUCAAUAAAUAAGAAAGCAGAAGCAGCGUUUCUUA